This is a long non-coding RNA of Telopea speciosissima, 642 nucleotides long. RefSeq lists it as uncharacterized. The transcript has 2 exons. The record is from RefSeq and is a predicted model, not a curated record. NCBI's taxonomy places the organism in Eukaryota, Viridiplantae, Streptophyta, Magnoliopsida, Proteales, Proteaceae.
CAGACCAGAUGGCUAAGGAAGAGGGCCCUGAACAGUUAGUCCAAGUCCUGGUCUCCUGACAGAGAUUUGUAUGGCAUGACCAAACAGCAGUUCAACCAGAUGAUCUUAGUUUGUGAAGACAAGCAAAAACCAAAAAUAUUUUAUUAUGUUUCACUUUUGAUACUAGAUAGCACCAGCAGGUUCAUUCAAAACUACCCAGACUAACCCACAGUCCAGGUGAACCUAAGGUUAGAAUCUCAAAACAUGCAUAAGAGAAAAAGCACUCCCCCAGGCCAUCUCUUUAAAAACAACAACAUUAGAGAGUAUGUUGUGACAAUUGUAUAUCUAGAUGAGGUGCUACAGCCAAGGGGGCCAUAUUUCUACAUCAUCCCCUCUUCAACUGUCGUUUCUUAGAAGGUCCUUGCCACUUGGUGAAAUAGAAUGGCAGGACUCUGACCUCUUUGGCCACAGAAGGACUCCAUGAUAAGGGAGACAAUGCCCCAAUUCGUAUACAUAUGGCAGUGUCUUUUUAUUUUCCAGGCAAUUGGACAUGUCAAAUUCUCAGCCUUUGCUAGAUUCUUAACAAACUGGUCUAGGUCAUGACCACUGAUGGCCUCAAAAUUGAUAAUCGGUUGAUGGAUCACCUGGACCACAGAGCCUGUU